UGUGUAGGUGGUCACGUAUGUCGGAUGUGAAAUUCCGGGGCCUAACCCGGCGCUGCAUUCGAAACUGCGUGUCUAGAGUACAGGAGAGGUAAGCGGAAUUCUUGGUGUAGCGGUGAAAUGCGUUGAUAUCAAGAAGAACACCGGAUGCGAAGGCGGCUUACUGGAAUGUUACUGACACUGAUACACGAAAGCUAGGGGAGCAAACAGGAUUAGAUACCCUGGUAGUCC
This 228-nucleotide ribosomal RNA is filed under the name uncultured bacterium. Its description in RNAcentral is "partial 16S ribosomal RNA". It matches the Rfam family "Bacterial small subunit ribosomal RNA", at positions 568 to 796 of the family's 1533-position model. The record is from RNAcentral.